GAUCAUGGCUCAGGAUGAACGCUAGCUACAGGCUUAACACAUGCAAGUCGAGGGGAAACGACAUCGAAAGCUUGUCUUUUGAUGGGCGUCGACCGGCGCACGGGUGAGUAACGCGUAUCCAACCUGCCCAUCACUUGGGGAUAACCUUGCGAAAGUAAGACUAAUACCCAAUGAUAUCUCUAGAAGACAUCUGAAAGAGAUUAAAGAUUUAUCGGUGAUGGAUGGGGAUGCGU
RNAcentral lists this ribosomal RNA (233 nucleotides) under uncultured bacterium. RNAcentral describes it as "partial 16S ribosomal RNA". It matches the Rfam family "Bacterial small subunit ribosomal RNA", at positions 15 to 236 of the family's 1533-position model. The record is from RNAcentral.